Molecule: ribosomal RNA, 484 nt
Filed under: uncultured bacterium
Lineage: Bacteria
Description: partial 16S ribosomal RNA
Rfam family: Bacterial small subunit ribosomal RNA
Source: RNAcentral
AUUGAACGCUGGCGGCAGGCCUAACACAUGCAAGUCGAGCGGAUGAAGGGGGCUUUCUCCUGUAUUCAGCGGCGGACGGGUGAGUAAUGCCUAGGAAUCUGCCUGGUCGUGGGGGCUAACGUCCGGACACGGGCGCUAAUACCGCAUACGUCCUGAGGUAGAAAGUGGGGGAUCUUCGGACCUCACGCUAUCAGAUGAGCCUAGGUCGGAUUAGCUAGUUGGUGGGGUAAAGGCCUACCAAGGCGACGAUCCGUAACUGGUCUGAGAGGAUGAUCAGUCACACUGGAACUGAGACACGGUCCAGACUCCUACGGGAGGCAGCAGUGGGGAAUAUUGGACAAUGGGCGAAAGCCUGAUCCAGCAAUGCCGCGUGUGUGAAGAAGGUCUUCGGAUUGUAAAGCACUUUAAGUUGGGAGGAAGGGCAGUAAGUUAAUACCUUGCUGUUUUGACGUUACCAACAGAAUAAGCACCGGCUAACUUCGUG